Molecule: ribosomal RNA, 545 nt
Filed under: uncultured bacterium
Lineage: Bacteria
Description: bacterial SSU rRNA
Rfam family: Bacterial small subunit ribosomal RNA
Source: RNAcentral
UAGGGAAUUUUUCACAAUGAGCGAAAGCUUGAUGGAGCAAUGCCGCGUGAACGAUGAAGGUCUUUAAGAUUGUAAAGUUCUUUUAUUUGGGAAGAAUGACUUUAGCAGGUAAUGGCUAGAGUUUGACUGUACCAUUUUGAAUAAGUGACGACUAACUAUGUGCCGGCAGUCGCGGUAAUACAUAGGUCGCAAGCGUUAUCCGGAUUUAUUGGGCGUAAAGCAAGCGCAGGCGGAUUGAAAAGUCUGGUGUUAAAGGCAGCUGCUUAACAGUUGUAUGCAUUGGAAACUAUUAAUCUAGAGUGUGGUAGGGAGUUUUGGAAUUUCAUGUGGAGCGGUGAAAUGCGUAGAUAUAUGAAGGAACACCAGUGGCGAAGGCGAAAACUUAGGCCAUUACUGACGCUUAGGCUUGAAAGUGUGGGGAGCAAAUAGGAUUAGAUACCCUAGUAGUCCACACCGUAACGAUAGAUACUAGCUGUCGGGGCGAUCCCCUCGGUAGUGAAGUUAACACAUUAAGUAUCUCGCCUGGGUAGUACAUUCGCAAGAAU